This 73-nucleotide transfer RNA is filed under the name Bos taurus (domestic cattle). It matches the Rfam family "tRNA". Rfam says of the family: Transfer RNA (tRNA) molecules are approximately 80 nucleotides in length. Their secondary structure includes four short double-helical elements and three loops (D, anti-codon, and T loops). The record is from Rfam by way of RNAcentral. Lineage: Eukaryota; Metazoa; Chordata; Mammalia; Artiodactyla; Bovidae. RNAcentral also lists the same sequence under 3 other names.
UUCCUGGUGGUCCAGUGGUUAAGACUUUGAGCUCCCAAUACAGGGGGCCAGGGUUCAAUCCCUGGUCAGGGAA